UACGGGGGGGGCAAGCGUUGUUCGGAAUUACUGGGCGUAAAGGGCUCGUAGGCGGCCAACUAAGUCAGACGUGAAAUCCCUCGGCUUAACCGGGGAACUGCGUCUGAUACUGGAUGGCUUGAAUCCGGGAGAGGGAUGCGGAAUUCCAGGUGUAGCGGUGAAAUGCGUAGAUAUCUGGAGGAACACCGGUGGCGAAGGCGGCAUCCUGGACCGGCAUUGACACUGAGGCGCGAAAGCCAGGGGAGCAAACGGG
This 253-nucleotide ribosomal RNA is filed under the name uncultured bacterium. RNAcentral's name for it is "partial 16S ribosomal RNA". It matches the Rfam family "Bacterial small subunit ribosomal RNA", at positions 524 to 776 of the family's 1533-position model. The record is from RNAcentral.